UACAGAGGGGGCAAGCGUUGUUCGGAAUUACUGGGCGUAAAGGGCGCGUAGGUGGCCUUCUAAGUUGAACGUGAAAUCCCUGGGCUCAACCCAGGAACUGCGUCCAAGACUGGGAGGCUUGAAUCCGGGAGAGGGAUGCGGAAUUCCAGGUGUAGCGGUGAAAUGCGUAGAUAUCUGGAGGAACACCGGUGGCGAAGGCGGCAUCCUGGACCGGUAUUG
RNAcentral lists this ribosomal RNA (219 nucleotides) under uncultured bacterium. Its description in RNAcentral is "partial 16S ribosomal RNA". It matches the Rfam family "Bacterial small subunit ribosomal RNA", at positions 524 to 742 of the family's 1533-position model. The record is from RNAcentral.